GACAGAGGGGGCAAGCGUUGCUCGGAUUUACUGGGCGUAAAGGGCGCGUAGGCGGCGCAACAAGUCACUUGUGAAAUCUCCGGGCUUAACCCGGAGCGGCCAAGUGAUACUGUCGUGCUAGAGUGCGGAAGGGGCUACUGGAAUUCCCGGUGUAGCGGUGAAAUGCGUAGAUAUCGAGAGGAACACCUGCGGCGAAGGCGGGUAGCUGGGCCGACACUGACGCUGAGGCGCGAAAGCCAGGGGAGCGAACGGG
Molecule: ribosomal RNA, 253 nt
Filed under: uncultured bacterium
Lineage: Bacteria
Description: partial 16S ribosomal RNA
Rfam family: Bacterial small subunit ribosomal RNA
Source: RNAcentral